AGCCUCUAGUGAGUUCAUACACGGCCCGUACCCCAAACCGACACAGGUGAUCAGGUAGAGAAUACCAAGGCGAUCGAGAGAACUGUGGUUAAGGAACUCGGCAAGAUGCCCCCGUAACUUCGGGAGAAGGGGGACCAUGCCCGGUGAACAUCUUCACGGUGGGAGCUGGGUGUGGUCGCAGAGACCAGAGAGAAGCGACUGUUUACUAAAAACACAGGUCCGUGCGAAGACGUAAGUCGAUGUAUACGGACUGACGCCUGCCCGGUGCUGGAAGGUUAAGAGGACCGGUUAGCCGUAAGGCGAAGCUGAGAAUUUAAGCCCCAGUAAACGGCGGUGGUAACUAUAACCAUCCUAAGGUAGCGAAAUUCCUUGUCGGGUAAGUUCCGACCUGCACGAAUGGCGUAACGACUUCUCUGCUGUCUCGACCACAGACUCGGCGAAAUUGCACUACGAGUAAAGAUGCUCGUUACGCGCGGCAGGACGAAAAGACCCCGGGACCUUUACUAUAGCUUGGUAUUGGCGUUCGAUUCGGUCUGUGUAGGAUAGGUGGGAGACUGUGAAGCAUGCACGCCAGUGUGUGUGGAGUCGUUGUUGAAAUACCACUCUGAUCGUAUUGGACGUCUAACCUCGGCCCAUGAUCUGGGUUAGGGACAGUGCCUGGUGGGUAGUUUAACUGGGGCGGUUGCCUCCUAAGGAGUAACGGAGGCGCCCAAAGGUUCCCUCAGCCUGGAUGGCAAUCAGGUGUUGAGUGCAAGUGCACAAGGGAGCUUGACUGUGAGACUGACACGUCGAGCAGGGACGAAAGUCGGGACUAGUGAUCCGGCACCGGCAAGUGGAAGCGGUGUCGCUCAACGGAUAAAAGGUACCCCGGGGAUAACAGGCUGAUCUUCCCCAAGAGUCCAUAUCGACGGGAUGGUUUGGCACCUCGAUGUCGGCUCGUCGCAUCCUGGGGCUGGAGUAGGUCCCAAGGGUUGGGCUGUUCGCCCAUUAAAGCGGCACGCGAGCUGGGUUUAGAACGUCGUGAGACAGUUCGGUCUCUAUCCGCCGCGCGCGUAAGAAACUUGAGGAAGGCUGUCCCUAGUACGAGAGGACCGGGACGGACAAACCUCUGGUGUGCCAGUUGUUCCACCAGGAGCAUGGCUGGUUAGCUACGUUCGGAAGGGAUAACCGCUGAAAGCAUCUAAGCGGGAAGCCUGUUCCAAGAUGAGGUUUCUCACCACCUUGCGUGGUUAAGGCCCCCUACAGACCAUGGGGUUGAUAGGCCGGAACUGGAAGCGCAGCAAUGCGUGGAGGUGACCGGUACUAAUAGGCCGAGGGCC
RNAcentral lists this ribosomal RNA (1319 nucleotides) under metagenome. RNAcentral describes it as "bacterial LSU rRNA". It matches the Rfam family "Bacterial large subunit ribosomal RNA", at positions 1616 to 2925 of the family's 2925-position model. The record is from RNAcentral.